RNAcentral lists this long non-coding RNA (549 nucleotides) under Cricetulus griseus (Chinese hamster). Its description in RNAcentral is "lncRNA (ENSCGRG00000026036.1)". Lineage: Eukaryota; Metazoa; Chordata; Mammalia; Rodentia; Cricetidae. The record is from RNAcentral.
UGCUGAAAAAAAAAUCUAGCUGUGUAUGAAUCAGCAUCAGUCACAAUAUCAUCAUCAUACCAAUGAACCCGGAAAGGAUGGUUGAUUCAAAGGCAAUGCAUUUAUUCAGUUCUCUGAGAACUUGGGCAGCUGGUGGAGACCACCCACCUGGCGAUAGAGCUCAGGAGGCUUUUGGCGGAAAGAUUUAUCGUAACAGAAGAAGAAUAAGAAGAAUAAGAAGAAUAAGAAGAAUAAGAAGAAUAAGAAGAAUAAGAAGAAGAAGAAGAAGAAGAAGAAGAAGAAGAAGAAGAAGAAGAAGAAGAAGAAGAAGAAGAAGAAGAAGAAGAAGAAGAAGAAGAAGAAGAUAUGGCAGAACCAAGCAUCACCUACUAGAAAUAAAAUCUAAAGUUAAGAGCUAGAUGAGGCAAGUGUAUGGAUCUCAAAAAACAUUGGAUGGUCUGGUUUGACAUUAUUUAUAAUAAGGGAUAGCUAAGUGAGAAUACCUUUCAAAUUAAAAACAAUGUAACUGUUUCCUGGAACCUGAGAGCUCCCCAAAGAGGGAAAGAGAGA